GGCAUCGUAGUUCAGCUGGUAGAGCGUGCGUUGUACAAAAGCAUAGGCAACGUCCGUGCGUGGGUUUGAAUCCCACCGAGGCUA
RNAcentral lists this transfer RNA (84 nucleotides) under Echinostoma caproni. It matches the Rfam family "tRNA". Rfam says of the family: Transfer RNA (tRNA) molecules are approximately 80 nucleotides in length. Their secondary structure includes four short double-helical elements and three loops (D, anti-codon, and T loops). Further hydrogen bonds mediate the characteristic L-shaped molecular structure. tRNAs have two regions of fundamental functional importance: the anti-codon, which is responsible for specific mRNA codon recognition, and the 3' end, to which the tRNAs corresponding amino acid is attached (by aminoacyl-tRNA synthetases). tRNAs cope with the degeneracy of the genetic code in two manners: having more than one tRNA (with a specific anti-codon) for a particular amino acid; and 'wobble' base-pairing, i.e. permitting non-standard base-pairing at the 3rd anti-codon position. Lineage: Eukaryota; Metazoa; Platyhelminthes; Trematoda; Plagiorchiida; Echinostomatidae. The record is from Rfam by way of RNAcentral.